RNAcentral lists this transfer RNA (72 nucleotides) under Aurantimonas sp. Leaf443. It matches the Rfam family "tRNA". Rfam says of the family: Transfer RNA (tRNA) molecules are approximately 80 nucleotides in length. Their secondary structure includes four short double-helical elements and three loops (D, anti-codon, and T loops). The record is from Rfam by way of RNAcentral. Lineage: Bacteria; Pseudomonadati; Pseudomonadota; Alphaproteobacteria; Hyphomicrobiales; Aurantimonadaceae.
UCCCCAGUAGCUCAGUGGUAGAGCACUCGACUGUUAAUCGAUCGGUCGCUGGUUCGAAUCCGGCCUGGGGAG